GUAGGUAUAGCUUAGUGGUAGAGCGCAAGCUUAGCAUGGACCAGGUCCUGGGUUCAAUCCCCAGUACCGCCA
This 72-nucleotide transfer RNA is filed under the name Camelus ferus (Wild Bactrian camel). It matches the Rfam family "tRNA". From Rfam's summary of the family: Transfer RNA (tRNA) molecules are approximately 80 nucleotides in length. Their secondary structure includes four short double-helical elements and three loops (D, anti-codon, and T loops). Lineage: Eukaryota; Metazoa; Chordata; Mammalia; Artiodactyla; Camelidae. The record is from Rfam by way of RNAcentral.